Molecule: long non-coding RNA, 1686 nt
Organism: Jatropha curcas
Lineage: Eukaryota; Viridiplantae; Streptophyta; Magnoliopsida; Malpighiales; Euphorbiaceae
Source: RefSeq, a predicted model, not a curated record
CCUAGCCUCUUCAGCCAAUACCAAUGCGUUUCCCGCCGAUCUCUUCAUAUCUACUCUCUGCGUUUAUUUUGUGUUAUUACGUACAAUACAGAACUUCCAACUCUGUGUCUUUUAUACUGUUUUGCACGGUGCGCUUAGUGAAGAUCGAACUUGAGAGCUUUUUCCAAAUGUUCAAUCUACAUUGUCAACUGAGUCAUAGCCCGAGGUAUUGGAUUCCGGUCUCUGGCCAGGUUUAAUGUGGCGAUGCUUGCGAAAACAGGAUGGAAUUUACUAACUAGGCCUACAGCCCUUGUUAGUAAAAUUUUGUCAAGCACGCUAUUAUGAAAGAUCUGAUUUUUUACUUGCUCAGCUCAGCAAAAACCCCAUUUUUAUCUGGAAAUCUUUGAUGGCUGGUCAAAAGCCGUUAAUGGCUGGUUGUUUACGUCGGAUAGGGGAUGGGACUAAUACUUCAGUCUAUGGAUGCCCGUGGGUGCCGGACCCUCCACAUUUUCGCAUUCAGUCUUUGAAUUUGACAGUUAUGGAGAGUGUUAACUUAGCAGAUUUGUUUAUUCCUAAUACCCGCAGAUGGGAUACUGAAUUACUGAGUUAUUGCAUGAGCUUUUUACUUCCCAUGAGGCUCAGUUGAUUGAGCAUAUACCUCUCUCGCGUGUUGUUACUGAGGAUAGCUGGUAUUGGUAUCAUGACUCCAAGGGAAUUUAUACAGUAAAAAGCGGCUAUCAGUUUUUGGAGAAUCAGAAUUCUUGGUCGUCACAGGUGCCGGUGCUGGUGUGGAAGAAGAUAUGGGCUUUGGGUGUCCUCCAAAGGUCAAAAAUUUUUUAUGGAGAGCUGUUUCGGAUAUCUUGCCAGUUUAUGAGGUUUUAAGAAGGAGAAAUGUUCAAGUGCCUUUGUUAUGUCCACUCUGUAAUCAUAGCACAGAAAGUAUGCUGCAUUGUCUAGUUACGUGUGAAUUCGCAAAGGAAUGCUGGAAUGGAUCAGUGACAGGAUGGUAGUGCGGUUUCAGAUUUUAAGGAGUGGUUUCAGUUGUUAAUGUCCUGUUGUGAUGAUGUGAAGCUGAACGAAGCUGGUAUGUUGGCGUGGGUAAUAUGGUGUGCUCGUAAUUCUUUUAUUUGGCAGGGUAAACAACCGAUGUCUGGGUCUGUGGUUCGACGGGCUCAUACUUUCUUAAGAGCUUGGACGGAAGUUCGGGUAGGGGACUCAAGUCAAGAAGCAGAUAUCCAGCCACCUUCAGUUGCAAAAUGGAGACGUCCAGCUACAGGUUUCAAACUAAAUGUUGAUGCUGGGUAUGAUAGUGCAACAGGUCGGGCAGGUGCAGGAUGGAUUUUGAGGAACGAUAGAGGCGUGUGUAUGGGUGGUAAAAUGCAGAUUCUGGGUUGUCUCUAGUGCAGCUAUGGCAGAGGUCUAGGGCGUAAGAGAGGCGCUGAGUUGGUUGAAGAAUAGGGGUGGACAGCCUCAAGUAAUGGUUGAAGGUGAUUGUUUAACUGUGUUACAAGCUCUGAAUUCGCAGUGAGAGGAUUUCUCUUAUUUUGGCUCUUUAAUCUUAGAUUGUAAAACCCUUAUGCAGGAGUUUUCUUCUUUGUCCUCAGCUUUUGUUAGCUAAGGCUACUAGUUCUAUGUCUGGCCCUAUGGAGUGGGAACUGUCUCCUCCAUCUAUUAUUCAUGAUGUUUUGUUGAUGGAUUUUAAUAAUA